RNAcentral lists this ribosomal RNA (253 nucleotides) under uncultured bacterium. RNAcentral's name for it is "partial 16S ribosomal RNA". It matches the Rfam family "Bacterial small subunit ribosomal RNA", at positions 524 to 776 of the family's 1533-position model. The record is from RNAcentral.
AACGUAGGAGGCGAGCGUUAUCCGGAUUUAUUGGGCGUAAAGCGUGUGUAGGCGGUUUGAUAAGUUGGAUGUGAAAGCUCCUGGCUUAACUGGGAGAGGUCGUUCAAAACUAUCAGACUUGAGAGUGGUAGAGGGAGGUGGAAUUCCGGGUGUAGUGGUGAAAUGCGUAGAUAUCCGGAGGAACACCAGUGGCGAAAGCGGCCUCCUGGCCCAUUUCUGACGCUCAGACACGAAAGCUAAGGUAGCAAACGGG